This 394-nucleotide ribosomal RNA is filed under the name uncultured bacterium. RNAcentral describes it as "bacterial SSU rRNA". It matches the Rfam family "Bacterial small subunit ribosomal RNA", at positions 28 to 422 of the family's 1533-position model. The record is from RNAcentral.
GACGAACGCUGGCGGCGUGCUUAACACAUGCAAGUCGAGCGGUAAGGCCCUUUCGGGGGUACACGAGCGGCGAACGGGUGAGUAACACGUGGGUGACCUGCCCUCAGCUCUGGGAUAAGCCUGGGAAACCGGGUCUAAUACUGGAUAUGACUCCAUGACGCAUGUUGUGGGGUGGAAAGCCUUGUGCGGCUGAGGAUGGGCCCGCGGCCUAUCAGCUUGUUGGUGGGGUGANGGCCUACCAAGGCGACGACGGGUAGCCGGCCUGAGAGGGCGACCGGCCACACUGGGACUGAGACACGGCCCAGACUCCUACGGGAGGCAGCAGUGGGGAAUCUUGCGCAAUGGGCGAAAGCCCUGACGCAGCGACGCCGCGUGAGGGAUGACGGCCUCGGUG